Molecule: transfer RNA, 32 nt
Filed under: Somatochlora dido
Lineage: Eukaryota; Metazoa; Arthropoda; Insecta; Odonata; Corduliidae
Description: partial tRNA-Asn
Source: RNAcentral
UUUAUAUUAGUUGAAGCCAAAAUAGAGGCCUA